UACGUAGGGGGCAAGCGUUAUCCGGAUUUACUGGGUGUAAAGGGAGCGUAGACGGCAAGGCAAGCCAGAAGUGAAAGGGCAGGGCUCAACCCUGUACAUGCUUUUGGAACUGUGGUGCUAGAGUGCAGGAGAGGUAAGUGGAAUUCCUAGUGUAGCGGUGAAAUGCGUAGAUAUAUGGAAGAACACCAGUGGCGAAAGCGGCUCUCUGGUCUGUAACUGACGCUGAGGUUCGAAAGCGUGGGUAGCAAACAGG
RNAcentral lists this ribosomal RNA (253 nucleotides) under uncultured Eubacteriales bacterium. RNAcentral's name for it is "uncultured Clostridiales bacterium partial 16S ribosomal RNA". It matches the Rfam family "Bacterial small subunit ribosomal RNA", at positions 524 to 776 of the family's 1533-position model. The record is from RNAcentral. Lineage: Bacteria; Bacillati; Bacillota; Clostridia; Eubacteriales.